CUGAGGUGGGCGACCGGCGGCACGGGUGAGUAACACGUAUGCAACCUGCCUGUAAGCGGGGAAGUAACCCGUUGAAAGACGGACUAAUACCGCAUAAUACUAAAUUACUGCAUGGUAAUUUAUUUAAACAUUUAUGGCUUACAGAUGGGCAUGCGCAUGAUUAGCUAGUUGGAGAGGUAACGGCUCCCCAAGGCAACGAUCAUUAGGGGUUCUGAGAGGAAGGUCCCCCACACUGGUACUGAGACACGGACCAGACUCCUACGGGAGGCAGCAGUGAGGAAUAUUGGUCAAUGGACGAGAGUCUGAACCAGCCAAGUCGCGUGCAGGAAGAAUGUUCCCUAUGGAUUGUAAACUGCUUUUGCGAGGGGAAUAAAGUGCAUCACGUGUGAUGUUUUGUAUGUACUCUGCGAAUAAGGAUCGGCUAACUCCGUGCCAGCCGCCGC
Molecule: ribosomal RNA, 443 nt
Filed under: uncultured bacterium
Lineage: Bacteria
Description: bacterial SSU rRNA
Rfam family: Bacterial small subunit ribosomal RNA
Source: RNAcentral